CUCCUCUCAUCACGGCAACUAAGGAAGCUCAACAUCUAAAAAAGUUGAUACAAGACUAUAUUGCUUCUUUCAUCAAAGUAGGAGAUAAGGUGGCAUCCUGCAAAGGAUGCUGCCCAGGCUUUAAAAGACUGUGUUAGAAGACUCUAUACACAUGCUUAUCAUUCUUGGAGCGAGAUUCCAAAC
Solanum tuberosum (potato) is the source of this 183-nucleotide long non-coding RNA. RefSeq lists it as uncharacterized. The transcript is spliced from 3 exons. Lineage: Eukaryota; Viridiplantae; Streptophyta; Magnoliopsida; Solanales; Solanaceae. The record is from RefSeq and is a predicted model, not a curated record.